AUGGAAGAAGGUGGUUCAUCUACAAAUGCAGAACUACAGAUAUUGCAGAAUCAGAUGGGAGGUAUGGCUACGAGGUGUAGCUAUAGUCAGGGUCGGUGCCCGGGUCAGAGCGACGCUGUUAAGAUUUCAGCGGUGCCACCAACUGUAGUUAAUAUGGAGACGGCCUCUGUUCCGGGCAAUAACGCAGGAGAAGUUCAAAUUCAAGGCUUGCACACUCCAGUACAGCAGGGUGCUGUUAUUCCUAAUCCAUCAGAAAUCUCCAUUUUGUGCGCUCUGCCUGUAACUCACAUCUCACAUACUGGCCCCUCAUCUGCUAUUUAG
Molecule: ribosomal RNA, 321 nt
Filed under: Triticum aestivum (bread wheat)
Lineage: Eukaryota; Viridiplantae; Streptophyta; Magnoliopsida; Poales; Poaceae
Description: partial small subunit ribosomal RNA
Source: RNAcentral